UGCUGGAGGUAUCAGAAGUGCGAAUGCUGACAUAAGUAACGAUAAAGCGGGUGAAAAGCCCGCUCGCCGGAAGACCAAGGGUUCCUGUCCAACGUUAAUCGGGGCAGGGUGAGUCGACCCCUAAGGCGAGGCCGAAAGGCGUAGUCGAUGGGAAACAGGUUAAUAUUCCUGUACUUGGUGUUACUGCGAAGGGGGGACGGAGAAGGCUAUGUUGGCCGGGCGACGGUUGUCCCGGUUUAAGCGUGUAGGCUGGUUUUCCAGGCAAAUCCGGAAAAUCAAGGCUGAGGCGUGAUGACGAGGCACUACGGUGCUGAAGCAACAAAUGCCCUGCUUCCAGGAAAAGCCUCUAAGCAUCAGGUAACAUCAAAUCGUACCCCAAACCGACACAGGUGGUCAGGUAGAGAAUACCAAGGCGCUUGAGAGAACUCGGGUGAAGGAACUAGGCAAAAUGGUGCCGUAACUUCGGGAGAAGGCACGCUGAUAUGUAGGUGAAGUCCCUUGCGGAUGGAGCUGAAAUCAGUCGAAGAUACCAGCUGGCUGCAACUGUUUAUUAAAAACACAGCACUGUGCAAACACGAAAGUGGACGUAUACGGUGUGACGCCUGCCCGGUGCCGGAAGGUUAAUUGAUGGGGUUAUCCGUAAGGAGAAGCUCUUGAUCGAAGCCCCGGUAAACGGCGGCCGUAACUAUAACGGUCCUAAGGUAGCGAAAUUCCUUGUCGGGUAAGUUCCGACCUGCACGAAUGGCGUAAUGAUGGCCAGGCUGUCUCCACCCGAGACUCAGUGAAAUUGAACUCGCUGUGAAGAUGCAGUGUACCCGCGGCAAGACGGAAAGACCCCGUGAACCUUUACUAUAGCUUGACACUGAACAUUGAGCCUUGAUGUGUAGGAUAGGUGGGAGGCUUUGAAGCGUGGACGCCAGUCUGCGUGGAGCCAACCUUGAAAUACCACCCUUUAAUGUUUGAUGUUCUAACGUUGGCCCCUUACCGGGGUUGCGGACAGUGUCUGGUGGGUAGUUUGACUGGGGCGGUCUCCUCCCAAAGCGUAACGGAGGAGCACGAAGGUUAGCUAAUCCUGGUCGGACAUCAGGAGGUUAGUGCAAUGGCAUAAGCUAGCUUGACUGCGAGCGUGACGGCGCGAGCAGGUGCGAAAGCAGGUCAUAGUGAUC
This 1166-nucleotide ribosomal RNA is filed under the name human gut metagenome. RNAcentral's name for it is "bacterial LSU rRNA". It matches the Rfam family "Bacterial large subunit ribosomal RNA", at positions 1271 to 2420 of the family's 2925-position model. The record is from RNAcentral.